GUGACUUGUAAAUCAUGCAAGUAUAUGGUUUGGUACAGUCAUGUAAUAAAAAAUCGCGAGAUAUGCGGUUUAAGAUCGGCAUUCUCGCGACUGUACCAAACCAUAUACUUGCAUGAUUUACA
RNAcentral lists this microRNA precursor (122 nucleotides) under Megaselia scalaris. Its description in RNAcentral is "microRNA mir-988". The record is from RNAcentral. Lineage: Eukaryota; Metazoa; Arthropoda; Insecta; Diptera; Phoridae.